This 38-nucleotide small RNA is filed under the name Vibrio cholerae O1 biovar El Tor str. N16961. Lineage: Bacteria; Pseudomonadati; Pseudomonadota; Gammaproteobacteria; Vibrionales; Vibrionaceae. The record is from RNAcentral.
GUGAAGUUCGUUUAACUGGCGCAGACGGUGAGUCUGUA